CUACUUUAUUAAUAAGGAAACCCUAAGAUACUCUGUUGCGACUGGAAAACUUCGCAGCACACCUAUUUGUUGCGCACAGUGAGGGGAAAAUAAGAGGAGGGAAAGGCUUUCCAAAUUUUCAUGCCGUUGACACAAGCAAUAUUUAAACUAAGUUCCUUACGCUGCAAGUGAUUGAAUUGUUAAAUAAUCUCUUUUAUUUGGAUGACUGGCAGGGUGCCAUCCUUUUGAUAUCUGGGAGGCGGCAUAUCCGAGCCCUCGACGAGAUACGUGGACGCCGCCUUCUUGCGCGCCUCGUCCUGCGAAUAGAGAAGGA
Molecule: long non-coding RNA, 313 nt
Organism: Drosophila teissieri
Lineage: Eukaryota; Metazoa; Arthropoda; Insecta; Diptera; Drosophilidae
Exons: 3
Source: RefSeq, a predicted model, not a curated record